UACAUAGCCGACCUGAGAGGGUGAUCGACCACACUGGGACUGAGACACGGCCCAGACUCCUACGGGAGGCAGCAGUAGGGAAUCUUCGGCAAUGGGGGCAACCCUGACCGAGCAACGCCGCGUGAGUGAAGAAGGUUUUCGGAUCGUAAAGCUCUGUUGUUAGAGAAGAAUGAUGGUGGGAGUGGCAAAUCCACCAAGUGACGGUAACUAACCAGAAAGGGACGGCUAACUACGUGCCAGCAGCCGCGGUCAUACGUAGGUCCCGAGCGUUGUCCGGAUUUAUUGGGCGUAAAGCGAGCGCAGGCGGUUUUUUAAGUCUGAAGUUAAAGGCAUUGGCUCAACCAAUGUACGCUUUGGAAACUGGAGAACUUGAGUGCAGAAGGGGAGAGUGGAAUUCCAUGUGUAGCGGUGAAAUGCGUAGAUAUAUGGAGGAACACCGGUGGCGAAAGCGGCUCUCUGGUCUGUA
Molecule: ribosomal RNA, 466 nt
Filed under: uncultured Streptococcaceae bacterium
Lineage: Bacteria; Bacillati; Bacillota; Bacilli; Lactobacillales; Streptococcaceae
Description: bacterial SSU rRNA
Rfam family: Bacterial small subunit ribosomal RNA
Source: RNAcentral